UCCUUUUCAUAUUUGAUCUUUGGAAGGCCAUCAACUAGCUCAUCUUUGCUUAAAUUUUUGAGGAGAUCCAUGCUAGCAUGAGAAAGCCUUCUAUGCCAAAUCCAAGAGUUAUCACUAAUAGACACAAAGCACUUCAUAUCUUGGUUAGUCAUAGCUUGUAAGUCAAUAAGAUAAAUAUUUUCAACUCUUUCACCAACAAACAAUAUUUUGUUAUCCGACAUUCUAGAAACAAAACAUGAUUUUGGUUCAAAGAUAACUCUACAACCUUUAUCACAUAAUUGACUUACACUUAAUAAAUUAUGCUUCAAACCAUCAACUAAUAG
RNAcentral lists this long non-coding RNA (323 nucleotides) under Manihot esculenta (cassava). RNAcentral's name for it is "long non-coding RNA (MESC_LNC011758)". Lineage: Eukaryota; Viridiplantae; Streptophyta; Magnoliopsida; Malpighiales; Euphorbiaceae. The record is from RNAcentral.